This 255-nucleotide ribosomal RNA is filed under the name uncultured bacterium. Its description in RNAcentral is "partial 16S ribosomal RNA". It matches the Rfam family "Bacterial small subunit ribosomal RNA", at positions 524 to 776 of the family's 1533-position model. The record is from RNAcentral.
UACGGGGGGAGCAAGCGUUGUUCGGAUUUACUGGGCGUAAAGGGCGCGUAGGCGGCCACUGCAAGUCGGUUGUGAAAUCUCCGGGCUUAACCCGGAAAGGUCAAUCGAUACUGCAGGGCUAGAGUGCGGAAGGGGCAACUGGAAUUCUCGGUGUAGCGGUGAAAUGCGUAGAUAUCGAGAGGAACCCCUGCGGCGAAGGGGGGUUGCUGGGCCGACACUGACGCUGACAGCGCGAAAGCUAGGGGAGCGAACGGG